AUUGAACGCUGGCGGCAGGCCUAACACAUGCAAGUCGGGAGAGCGGCGGACGGGUGACUAAUGUAUGGGGCCUGCCAGAUUGUGGGGGAUAACUACUGGAAACGGUGGCUAAUACCGCCUACUAUCCGAUACCCCAUAGGGGAUUAGCUAGUGGGUGGGGUAAAGGCUCACCUAGGCGACGAUCCCUAGCUGGUCUGAGAGGAUGAUCAGGCAAACGGGAACUGAGACAAGGCGCCGAAUACUAUGGAGUCAGUAGGUGGGAAGAAGGAACAAUGGGCGAAAGUCUGAAGAAGCGAAGCCGCGCGUGGUAGGAAGUCCAUAGGGUUGUAAAGCACUUUUAGUUGGGAGGCGUAAGAUUUUGAAGAAGAACCGGCUAAUUCCGAGCCAGCAGCCGCGGUAAUAC
This 403-nucleotide ribosomal RNA is filed under the name uncultured bacterium. RNAcentral describes it as "partial 16S ribosomal RNA". It matches the Rfam family "Bacterial small subunit ribosomal RNA", at positions 29 to 526 of the family's 1533-position model. The record is from RNAcentral.